AGGAUUAUAGUUUAUAAAACAUUUGAUUUGCACUCAAAAAAUAUUGAUUAUUAUCAAUUUAUCUUA
Molecule: transfer RNA, 66 nt
Filed under: Orgyia postica
Lineage: Eukaryota; Metazoa; Arthropoda; Insecta; Lepidoptera; Erebidae
Description: tRNA-Ala
Rfam family: tRNA
About the family: Transfer RNA (tRNA) molecules are approximately 80 nucleotides in length. Their secondary structure includes four short double-helical elements and three loops (D, anti-codon, and T loops).
Source: RNAcentral